AGAGUUUGAUCCUGGCUCAGGACGAACGCUGGCGGCGUGCCUAAUACAUGCAAGUCGAGCGCGUGUAGCAAUACACGAGCGGCGGACGGGUGAGUAACGCGUGGGCAACCUGCCCUCUAGCCUGGGAUAACAGCGCGAAAGUGCUGCUAACACCGGAUAUGCUCACAGGGAGACAUCUCCCAGUGAGGAAAGUUUACACUAGAGGAUGGGCCCGCGUCCCAUUAGCUAGUUGGUGAGGUAACGGCCCACCAAGGCGACGAUGGGUAGCCGACCUGAGAGGGUGAUCGGCCACACUGGGACUGAGACACGGCCCAGACUCCUACGGGAGGCAGCAGUAGGGAAUUUUCCGCAAUGGGCGAAAGCCUGACGGAGCAACGCCGCGUGAGGGAUGAAGGUUUUCGGAUCGUAAACCUCUGUCUUCAGGGACGAUAAUGACGGUACCUGAGGAGGAAGCCACGGCUAACUACGUGCCAGCAGCCGCGGUAAU
RNAcentral lists this ribosomal RNA (487 nucleotides) under uncultured bacterium. RNAcentral describes it as "bacterial SSU rRNA". It matches the Rfam family "Bacterial small subunit ribosomal RNA", at positions 8 to 524 of the family's 1533-position model. The record is from RNAcentral.